RNAcentral lists this ribosomal RNA (611 nucleotides) under Streptomyces sp. AL050513-21-C. RNAcentral describes it as "bacterial SSU rRNA". It matches the Rfam family "Bacterial small subunit ribosomal RNA", at positions 563 to 1164 of the family's 1533-position model. Lineage: Bacteria; Bacillati; Actinomycetota; Actinomycetes; Kitasatosporales; Streptomycetaceae. The record is from RNAcentral.
AAGAGCUCGUAGGCGGCUUGUCACGUCGGUUGUGAAAGCCCGGGGCUUUUUNCCGGGUCUGCAGUCGAUACGGGCAGGCUAGAGUGUGGUAGGGGAGAUCGGAAUUCCUGGUGUAGCGGUGAAAUGCGCAGAUAUCAGGAGGAACACCGGUGGCGAAGGCGGAUCUCUGGGCCAUUACUGACGCUGAGGAGCGAAAGCGUGGGGAGCGAACAGGAUUAGAUACCCNGGUAGUCCACGCCGUAAACGUUGGGAACUAGGUGUUGGCGACAUUCCACGUCGUCGGUGCCGCAGCUAACGCAUUAAGUUCCCCGCCUGGGGAGUACGGCCGCAAGGCUAAAACUCAAAGGAAUUGNCGGGGGCCCNCACAAGCNGCGGAGCAUGUAAGCUUAAUUCGACGCAACGCGAAGAACCUUACCAAGGCUUGACAUACACCGGAAAGCAUCANAGAUGGUGCCCCCCUUGUGGUCGGUGUACAGGUGGUGCAUGACUGUCGUCAGGCUCGUGUCGUNAGAUGUUGGGUUAAGCCCCGCAACGAGCGCAACCCUUGUUCUGUGUUGCCAGCAUGCCCUUCGGGGNGAUGGGGACUCACAGGANACUGCCGGGGUCAACUC